Molecule: ribosomal RNA, 862 nt
Filed under: uncultured Bacteroidota bacterium
Lineage: Bacteria; Pseudomonadati; Bacteroidota
Description: bacterial SSU rRNA
Rfam family: Bacterial small subunit ribosomal RNA
Source: RNAcentral
AGGGGAAACGAUAGAGAAAGCUUGCUUUUUCUAGGCGUCGACCGGCGCACGGGUGAGUAACGCGUAUCCAACCUGCCCAUCACUUGGGGAUAACCUUGCGAAAGUAAGACUAAUACCCAAUGAUAUCUCUAGAAGACAUCUGAAGGAGAUUAAAGAUUUAUCGGUGAUGGAUGGGGAUGCGUCUGAUUAGCUUGUUGGCGGGGUAACGGCCCACCAAGGCGACGAUCAGUAGGGGUUCCGAGAGGAAGGUCCCCCACAUUGGAACUGAGACACGGUCCAAACUCCUACGGGAGGCAGCAGUGAGGAAUAUUGGUCAAUGGGCGAGAGCCUGAACCAGCCAAGUAGCGUGCAGGAUGACGGCCCUAUGGGUUGUAAACUGCUUUUAUAAGGGAAUAAAGUGAGCCUCGUGAGGCUUUUUGCAUGUACCUUAUGAAUAAGGACCGGCUAAUUCCGUGCCAGCAGCCGCGGUAAUACGGAAGGUCCGGGCGUUAUCCGGAUUUAUUGGGUUUAAAGGGAGCGUAGGCCGGAGAUUAAGCGUGUUGUGAAAUGUAGAUGCUCAACGUCUGCACUGCAGCGCGAACUGGUUUCCUUGAGUACGCACAAAGUGGGCGGAAUUCGUGGUGUAGCGGUGAAAUGCUUAGAUAUCACGAAGAACUCCGAUUGCGAAGGCAGCUCACUGGAGCGCAACUGACGCUGAAGCUCGAAAGUGCGGGUAUCGAACAGGAUUAGAUACCCUGGUAGUCCGCGCGGUAAACGAUGGAUGCCCGCUGUUGGUCUGAAUAGGUCAGCGGCCAAGCGAAAGCAUUAAGCAUCCCACCUGGGGAGUACGCCGGCAACGGUGCAACUCAAAUGAAUUGACGGA